RNAcentral lists this long non-coding RNA (3903 nucleotides) under Homo sapiens (human). Its description in RNAcentral is "HSALNT0332694". The record is from RNAcentral. Lineage: Eukaryota; Metazoa; Chordata; Mammalia; Primates; Hominidae.
CUGUUGUUUAAGACUGUGUGUGGUAUUUUGUUAUGGCAGCCCAAGUGAAUAAGACAGUACCAAAUAGCUCUGGGCUGGCAGGCAUUGCUUUGGGUCAGUCAUACACAGAGUAGGUAUAUUUAUCUGUAAGAGAAACUCUACUGAUGCAAUCCAUGGUACACAAGUACCAAAGGCUGCGAGCGGUCACCGUUGAUUUGUCAAUGCUGUGGGCCCUGCCAUUGGUCCCAGAGUUAGUGUCAGCCAGUGGUCCUUUGGGGUCUUCCCCUCACCUCACCUUAAAUUUUUUGAUUCACAUUCCCUCUGCUUUGUUUGACUGCAUGAAGGUGGGACAGAUGCUGUGUUCGCAGGAGGGCACCAGUGUGCUUUUCUGUUUUCUCCCCUACUUCCCAAUCAUUCCAUCUGAAAAGAAUGCAUGAAACCAGAUUCUAAAGAACCAGCAUGUCUUUUUAAACUUCCUGGCCACCUCUUAGUGGGUGGAGAUCCCACAACAAAGCAGGAACUAUCUAGAGUAUAGAUGUCCGGCCAACCUGCUCACGUGGCCCAAAGGUGAGACCUGAGCUCACGGUUGCUAGCCACUGAGCACCCAGGCCAUGCUGAGCACAGGGCACCGCAGGGCAGAGACUUCUGAAGUUACAGCCUUGCCACUUAACGCGAGAAAGAGCUUCCCGAAGCCAGAAGCUCAACUAUGUGCUGCUCAAGAAUGGCAUGCUGGUGGUGGCAGGCAGCCUACGGAGGAACAGAGAAACGAUGUGGAGUAGCAGACCUGGCCUCAGUGUUACCUCCUUCUCCAUAACUGUGGGACUGGCAAGGAGAAAAGAAAGUGGGGCAACAACCAGAAGAGCCCAAAUGACUGCUUUUGUCCGGGCACAAAUAUCGCUAGUUAUGCCAUGCCCCCACUGAGCCUCUAGAUCCUUGUCAAAUCCUUUUCCGCAGACUAAAAUUAAUCAUUCACAUAUAAACAAAUGUAAAUAUAUUUUUAGCAUGCCUCAGAAAACCCACCUUCCUGUUGGGUUUUGGGGCUCUCUCUCCAAGUCAACUGGCAUAUCACAAAAGCAACUGCAACUGCUUAGAACUUUCCACCGCAUACAGGCGACUGUGACCCCAGGUGACAUCUGACUGUGGAUGCCAAAAUGACUUGUGUUGUGAGAUUACAAUCUCUAACUGCCUUGUGGUUUCAGAAGGCAGGAGAGGCCAGAACUUAAGAGAGGGUGAGGGCUUAAAAAUUCAAGGUGAGGAGUUCCAGAAAAACCCACACAUUUUGAGGGUCAUUUGUGUGGCUUCCUGCGGAAGGUUUUAAAAGCCAGAGCACAGUACUGUUGAGACGUUAGCCAGUGGAAAUAAAGGAAAUCCUCCACCCAGCCAAGCAGCUAGCUGGAUGGCAGCCCCCAGUUGGGGAUGGUAUUUCACCCUGUGAGGGCAGGCGGCAAAGGAAGAGAAACCGACCAACUGUCACCAAUCUGAAAGAAUUUGAGGGCCAGAAGGAUAACAGCAUGAUUUAAAAAAAAAAAAAAGUAUUCUUUUAAAGGCAUACACAGGACAUAUGAUCCCUAAGUAAUAGCUCGUAAUUAAUAAAAUAACUCUGUGUUCCUGCCAAAGUACUCUUUUUCUAACUCAUUUGCAGACAUUAGAUACCUCUUACCUCUUCUUUGCACUUAUCAUCAUUCCACGAAAAUACGAGAUUGGGGCAAAUAAGGAUUUGCAUUGACAGGACAUCUUGUGCUUUUCAAAUAGUCCGUUCCACCGAGAGGUUCCUUGACUUUGGCCUUCAGUCCUGACUUAAUUUCUUUGCUUAUGGGUAAAACAAGGAAUUCCUGUCACACUGCCAACAUCACCCCCUUUCUUCUCACCCCAAGGAGAGUGCAGAGAGGAGGCGAGACCAAGCCUGCCCAGAGUUGGAGUCUUGAGACGUGAGAUUCUCCAGCUGGAGCCCUAUAAAUUGGACUGACAAAAGACAGAUUAGCAAGAGAAAUGCAAGCAGCAGUUUAUUAACAUGUGCAUCAUGAUUACACAUGGAAGUACCCAGAGGCAGAAUUAAAGAUUCAAGAUGUACCUACUUCUUCCGGGGACAACAUUCAUGAUUCUUAAAGAUUUCACAAGUGUACCUUCUAAGGGUAAGUGGCUGGAAGUAGUAAGAGGUCAAUGCCAAGUGAAAUCCUCUGGCGUUUUCUUCUGACAACCAGGAGUCUGCAAAGUGUUUCACACAGCAAAGCCCAGGAGCACAGGUCUUGCAGCCUCUGGAUAACCAACUCGUCUCUCACCAGUGGUUCAAAAAAGCCCAUGCUAUCCUCAUCCAAAUAAACUUAUGAAAUGCUUUACCAAAUGAUUUGUUCAGAACAGUGAAUACUAGACACAACUUUGUGUGGAACAAGAGGAGAUCCAGUAAUGACAAUACAUCUUUUGUUAGAAAGACUUACAAAGGCUGUGACAUUCUUCUUUGAAGUGUUGUCAUUGUGUUGGAUGGGAUGAAGUGGUUCUAGGACACACAAAAAAGGAUCAAGAACAUCUGAGAAGACUACAGAUAAGUCCUUACUGCUGAUUUUGGACACAGGUCAGCCAUAUGAAGAUUCAGAUGAGCAGUCUGUGCUUCCUUUGCCUUAUCUCUCAAGAGCUGAGACCUUAUUUCUAUUCCACCUUGAACAAUUUUGUUUGAGUACAACAUAUUUACUGAUAUGGUCAGCUCAAGUCAUUGUGGAAUGAAUACUUAGAUGCUGCGUUCUUCCAAAAACUGAGCAGAACCUCCCUUCUGUGAACAUUUUCAAUAGGUUGUUUUCAAGGCUGUUAAUGGAGUAGAAGUCAUUCCUGUGGCUGGCAUAUCUGAACUGCCUGCAUAUCAAUAUCUGUUGAGACAUAGCACCAAAUAAUCAUUCGAAGCCCAGAAGUGAAUAAGAACAAUCCAUUCACGCGUGGGACAUUUAUUGGAUAUCGUCUAUUUUAAAAACAUUGGCUCAUCACUCUGGGAUAUGAAUAAAAAAUUAGAGGAGAAAAGAUGAAUAUAAAAACAUAUGGUAACUGAAGAAGGACUGAAGAGCUGAUGGCAAGGAUUCUGUCUCAGGUGUUUCCAAAGGCAGAGAGAGUCUACGAGUCAAUUCCAAAGACAUGUGUUCUCCCUUCCUCCAAUUCAGCUACCACCAAGGCUCCACCUGGCCCUUUAGGGACUCACGCUCCACUUACAUUUCUGGGAGGAGAACAAAACUGGUUCUUCCUUAGGAACCAAAACAGUAACAUGGGCCCUGUGCUGAUCUGAAAGGUAUUUUUAUUUAAGGAAAAGACUUGGCUUUUUUCAUGUUAAGGUUAAAUAUUUUCUCUGGGGACUGUGAUGAACACCUCCUGAAAAGUAAAAAUCUAACGGUGUGUGUGUGUGUGUGUGUGUGUGUGUGUGUGUGUGUAGGUGUGUAGGACGUUUUCUCUAGAAUUCUAAAAUUUCUUUUCUUAGGUAAUAAUUUUCACAUUUGCUAAGUUCUGAAUGAAUCUAAACUAUUUUGCUUUGAGUUUGUCUUCCUAUUACUAAUCCAUUUUCUGCUCUAGAAGAUUUUGAAGAUAAGGUAGGUUUUGAACUUAGCCCACUGACUGCCAAGCAAUAGUCAUUUACAUGGAAAGCAAAAAAAAGAAGUUAUUGGCAUCAGAAUUGACUCAGUCAUUAAAAUAUUCCACACCUAGAUUUCUCAAAGAACUAAAAACAAAACUACUAUGUGACCCAAUCUCACUACUGGGGAUACACCCAAAGAGAAAGAAGUCAUUAUAUCAAAAAGAUGUCUGUACUCAAAUGUUUAUCACAACGCUGUUCACAAUAGCAAAGACAUGGAAGCAACUGAAGUGUUCAUCAGUGGAGGACUGGAUAAAGGAAAUGGGAUAGACUAUUCACCAUGGAAUACUUGUCCAUCCAUAGAAAAGAACAAAAUCAUG